Long non-coding RNA from Planococcus citri (citrus mealybug), 530 nucleotides. RefSeq lists it as uncharacterized. The record is from RefSeq and is a predicted model, not a curated record. The transcript is spliced from 3 exons. NCBI's taxonomy places the organism in Eukaryota, Metazoa, Arthropoda, Insecta, Hemiptera, Pseudococcidae.
AUACUCGUAGAUUCCGGAAAGUCACAUAGGUAACUCGAGAGAUACAUCCUUUGAGCAGUUGAUAAUUCAGCAGACAAACGGACGUGGAGUAGAUGUAGUUCUGAACAGUUUGGCUGAAGAGAAAAUGCAAGCUUCAGUACGUUGCUUGGCUUACGACGGGCACUUUUUAGAGAUAGGGAAAUACGAUAUGCUCGAAAGACACGAUUUAAGUUUGGGACAUUUCGUGAACAACAUCUCAUUUCAUAGCAUACAGUUGGACCUGAUAAUGCGAACUAACAGAUAUCUCACACUUGCAAUCAAAGAAAAGGUUACAGAAUUUCUCAAUCAAGGAAUCAUAAAACCAAUACAGAGGACAGUUUUCCAAGCUGAUGAAAUAGAGUCAGCUUUCAGAUUUAUGGCAACUGGGAAGCAUACUGGAAAAGUUCUAAUAAAAAUUAAUGAUGAAGAAAAUGACCAGAAAGGCAAACCUAUUCCAAUAGCUAGGAAAUGUAAGCCUCAAGUUCACUGCUCGAAGUAUAGCUCAUACGUUA